RNAcentral lists this ribosomal RNA (864 nucleotides) under uncultured bacterium. Its description in RNAcentral is "bacterial SSU rRNA". It matches the Rfam family "Bacterial small subunit ribosomal RNA", at positions 8 to 857 of the family's 1533-position model. The record is from RNAcentral.
AGAGUUUGAUCCUGGCUCAGGAUGAACGCUAGCGACAGGCUUAACACAUGCAAGUCGAGGGGCAGCGGGGGAGUAGCAAUACUCCCGCCGGCGACCGGCGCACGGGUGAGUAACACGUAUGAAACCUGCCCGUAGCAGGGGGGGAUAAGCGGAAGAAAUUCCGUCUAAUACCGCGUAACAACCCUUGGAGGCAUCUCCUCGGGUUUAAAGGAAGCGAUUCCGGCUACGGAUGGUCAUGCGUCGCAUUAGCUGGUUGGCGGGGUAACGGCCCACCAAGGCGACGAUGCGUAGGGGUUCUGAGAGGAAGGUCCCCCACACUGGUACUGAGACACGGACCAGACUCCUAAGGGAGGCAGCAGUGAGGAAUAUUGGUCAAUGGCCGCAGGGCUGAACCAGCCAAGUCGCGUGAGGGAUGACGGUCCUAUGGAUUGUAAACCUCUUUUGUCAGGGAGCAAAGGGCGCCACGUGUGGCGCUUUGCGAGUACCUGAAGAAAAAGCAUCGGCUAACUCCGUGCCAGCAGCCGCGGUAAUACGGAGGAUGCGAGCAUUAUCCGGAUUUAUUGGGUUUAAAGGGUGCGCAGGCGGAAUGUCAAGUCAGCGGUAAAAUUUCGGGGCUCAACCCCGUCGUGCCGUUGAAACUGGCGUUCUUGAGUGAGCGAGAAGUAUGCGGAAUGCGUGGUGUAGCGGUGAAAUGCAUAGAUAUCACGCAGAACUCCGAUUGCGAAGGCAGCAUACCGGCGCUCAACUGACGCUCAUGCACGAAAGCGUGGGUAUCGAACAGGAUUAGAUACCCUGGUAGUCCACGCAGUAAACGAUGAAUACUAACUGUCCGGGCAGAAUGAUGCCUGGGUGGUACAGCGAAAG